UACGUAGGGUGCGAGCGUUUGUCCGGAAUUAUUGGGCGUAAAGGGCUCGUAGGCGGUCUGUCGCGUCGAAAGUGAAAAACUCAGGGCUUAACCCUGAGCCUGCUUCCGAUACGGGCAGACUAGAGGUAUGCAGGGGAGAACGGAAUUCCUGGUGUAGCGGUGAAAUGCGCAGAUAUCAGGAGGAACACCGGUGGCGAAGGCGGUUCUCUGGGCAUUACCUGACGUGAGGAGCGAAAGUGUGGGGAGCGAACAGG
This 254-nucleotide ribosomal RNA is filed under the name uncultured bacterium. RNAcentral's name for it is "partial 16S ribosomal RNA". It matches the Rfam family "Bacterial small subunit ribosomal RNA", at positions 524 to 776 of the family's 1533-position model. The record is from RNAcentral.